UCCUGGGAGCGGUGCAGGGAUGGCACGGCGGAAUCAGCCUGGGUGUCACUGGGAUCCCAGCGGGAUCAGCCGCGGGACUGGCGGCAUCUCCUCCGGGUCAGCCGCAGAACCGGCAGGAUCUCCCCGGGAUCGCGCCUGGGUCACUGCCAGCAGCAGCCCCUCGGAUUCCCCGGGAUCACCAGGACCGCAGCAGCCUCACCCUGCGAUCGCCACUGCAGGUCAUUUCCCAUCUUCCCGAUCCGUGGGACAGCUCCUCCAUGGAAUGGUGCUGGAGCACUUCAGGAGACCCAGCUGCUUCUGGGAUGUUUGUUCACGUGGAAUCCUCCAAACCACAUUUACAGCUUCCAAGACUGAGAUUUCUGGGAUUUCCCCAGAUUUGGGAGCACGGUCUGGGCAGGAGGGACCCACAGGGAUGAAGCGGGAAGCAGAGGAGGGGUGGGUAUAAGGAAGGACAAAGAAAGGCUCAGUUCCAGUCCUCUGGAAGUGUUUUCUUGGGAAAAAUCCAGCCUGGCCUGAAUUCCCAGCAGCUUUUUCAGCCUCUGGAAUUGGAUCAUUACAAGGAAAAGGUGAUUUCUGGGAUGUUCUCCAGGGCCCUUCCAGGGGCCAGGUGCUGUUAUAGGAACAGAGGGAAGCUCCAGCAAAUUCCAGCAAACCGAGCACCGCGGGUUCGUUCCCUUUCCCAGUUUUCCAUGGAAAAUCUGGGAUGCCCGAAUGGGAGCUGCUCCCGCCAUGGCUGGUGCUGGUUUUGGCAGCGGGAGGUUCCCCAGGACGCUGGAGCACAGGGGUUUUCAGCUUCCCAAACCAUCUGGAGGGAGCUGGAGGGGCUCAUCCUGGAGCAGAGGCGGCUCAGGGGGCACCUCCUGGCUCCCUGCAAUUCCCUGGGAGAAGGUUGGAGCCAGGAGGGGUCGGGCUCUGCUGACAGGACAAGAGGGAAGGGCCUCAAGGGGAGGUUUGGGUGGGAUAUUGGGAAUAUUCCCCCUGGAAAGGGCUCUCCAGGCCUGGCCCAGCUGCCCAGGGCAGAGGUGGAGUCUCCAUUGUUGGAGGGAUUUCAAAGCCCUGUGGAUGUGGCACUUGGGGACACGGUCAGGGGUGGCCUUGGCAGUGCUGGGGGAUGGUGGGACUUGUUCUUGGAGGGCUUUUCCAACCAAAACCAUUCCGUGAUUCCCCAGAAAUGAAUCUUUGUUUCAUUCCCCUCUCCAGGCAGAUCCAACAGGCCAAGCCAUGACUUUGUUGCUCCAAUGGGAACAAGCCCAGGAGAGCUUCAGCUGCAGCACCAGGAAAGAGGGAAUCAGGAGCAGCCUGGCUUAUCCACAGCAACCCCUGUGCCAUGACCCUGCCUUUUCCAGAGGCUCAGGAAAACCACUGGUGCUGUUGGAACUCCCUGGCUCCCGGCCUGUCCAAACAUCAGCAUCGAUCCCCAAAAACUCCCUGCCUGCUCAAAGCCGGGACCAGUCCGUGUUUCCUGCGCAUUUUCCGGAGGGCCACCAUGGACCUGUUGAAGGUUUGCUGGGAACAGGGAACACAAAGGGAGC
Molecule: non-coding RNA, 1532 nt
Organism: Cyanistes caeruleus (blue tit)
Lineage: Eukaryota; Metazoa; Chordata; Aves; Passeriformes; Paridae
Source: RefSeq, a predicted model, not a curated record